UUCCGCACCCAAUCCCCCGUCUCCCCAGCCCCAGCCCCCACCGGACAAACCCUAGCCUCACAUCCCGCACUCCUCCCUCCUCCUCCUUCCUCGUUAGCCGCCGCCGCCACCGUUCUGCCUUCCUCCUUUCUGUCCUACAACCAUGCCGUCGGGAGGAAGCCGUCGUCCGUGGCGCCAUACCGCUGUUGGGGUGCUGCGCACGCUUCGUUCCCCACAGCCCCUCCCUCAUCCUCGGUCGUCACCGCCGCUGCCUUCUACUCCCCUCCACCAUCGUUGCUGCUUCUAGGUCGAAUCUGGCGUUGGUGGGUCGGAGCUCGAGCUAGAGGCCGAGAUGGGGAAGGUCAAAAAAGGAGACCGGAUGGAGGUGCUCGAGGCCGAGGAAGCUGGAGAUGCACAACUAGCUUCACUGGCCAUCCGGUGGUUGGAGCACGGGGCAACGCUCCAGUUGCGAUGGGGUGGAGCUGCGCAGGAGGGGAAGGAGGCUCGCGACAGGGAGCCGGGCCAGGGAGGAGGCAAGGGAAUUACGUGGUUUUGGGUUUGUGAAAUUCCACCACCCUAAGGGUGUUGCAUAUGCUAACCAAGAAAUGAAUCAUCAAGUUAUUUGCGGUCGAGAGAUUACAAUGGUUUUUGCCGAGGAGAAUAGAAAACCCCCACAAGAAAUGCGCUUCAGAACAAGAUCAAGAACUAGCUUUGUUUAUCAAAUGCUCAGGUUAGUACGCAUUGGUUAACAAUGGAAGGGUCAUUGUGGUGCCUGUUGGGCCUUUGAUGUUGUGGAGUGUCUGCAAGAUCGUUUCUGCAUUCCUAACGGCAUGGACAUUUCACUUUCCGUCAAUAAGCAUUUAUCUCCAUGUUAACUUGGUGUAAGGUAGUCUUGAUGAUGUGUUGAGGCGGUCUGCUCAGUGACCGUUAGUAAGGUUGCUCAUCUGCAAGCGAAAGAGCUUUGUGCAUUCUUGCAUGACUAAGGAAGAAAUUUGUUAUUUGAAGUAUGCACUACAGAUAUUGCAAGCACAGGGGAGGAGAAUGGACUAGUGAUGGGCCUGAUAAUACCAUUCUUCAGGAGUUCCAAGAUAAUCUUCUUCAGGAUUUCUUUUUGAUGCUGAGGAAUUCUAUAUGGCCUUUGGUUAACCACUUUUGCUCCCUCUACCAAAGGAAUUCUACGAUCACAGGGCCUACUUGGUGGAAGUUCAGUAGGUUCCUGAAAUAGUUUCUCAUACUGAUCCAACAGUGGUUUGAAUGCAGCAGGAGUCUCUUGAGCAGCUGCUACCAUUUGAGGACCAGAAGUAGUAAACAAGAAGAAUCCACACACAGCUUGUUCCACUAAUUUCUCAGUGUGGUCAGUUACUUCAGUAACAGUAGUAAGAGGUACAGUUUCAUCCACAAAAGUGAUAAACUGCCCUUCAGGAGCAGAUAUCUUCAUUUCCAUCUUAAUGAAAUCCAUUUGUAUGGGGCUAUAUUUCCUCAACCAAUCUACUCCUAAGAUGAUGUCAUAGCCUUUUAACUUUAGUACUCUGAAGCUGUCAAUAAAUGCAUGGCCUUGUAUUGCAUAGUGACAGUUCUUUGCUUGGAAUUCACUCCAGAGGAUCCCUACACUAGCAACUACUCCCUCCGUCCCAAAAUUCUUGUCUUAGAUUUGUCCAAAUACGGAUGUAUCAAGUCACAUUUUAGUAUUAAGUACAUCCGUAUCUAGACAAAUCUAAGACAAGAAUUUUGGGACGGAGGGAGUACUACUUUAGUUUUUGGUGUAGGACUGGGAACAACAUCCGACUUAGUAGCCACCUGAGGAGAUAUAAAAGUAGUAGUACUGCCACUGUCCACCAGUGCAAUUGCCAGAGUAUUUCCCAAUUUAACUGUCAGUAUGAAAGUAUUUUUAGUUGCUCCAAUGCCCAUGGCAGCAUGCAUUGAUACUUUCAGUACUGUUUCCUCAGUUAGCUGCUCUGUAUUGUCUAGCUCCUGAUCAUCAUAUUCUGCCACAAAUAUAGUUUCAGGAGUUCCAUCUUCUUGAGCUUGUAGAGCUUGGAUUUGAGCUUUCUGGUUCAUUUUACACACUUGCCUAUGACCAGGCACCCAAGGCUCUCUACAUUUAUAACACACCUGGUUCUGUUUGGCCUGCUGAAUAACCACAUUCCUGUUUUGUGGUGCAGUUGGAAGCAGUUGUUUGGGCUGUUCAAAAAUGACUUAUCUUUUUGGUUGAGGAACAUACUGCUUAUUUUGCACUGACUGAGAGGAAGGCUGAGAUUUCUCCAUUCUUCUGGCAUACCACACUGCAGUUUGCAGAUCUUUUGGUUUAAAACAUUCCACUAAACUUCUGAUGUAAGGGUUGAGGCCUGAGACAAAGCUGGAGACAUAAUAGUCAUCAGGUAUAGCAGGGUUUUCUCUCCUCAUUCCAUUGACCAAUUGCUCAAAUUGUUCCACAUAAGCAGCCAUUGUUGUUGCUUGAUGUGCAGCAUGAAAGUUACUGACCACAUCACAAGCUGAUUCCACAGAGAACCUAUCAGAUAGGUAAGAACAGAAUUUAUGCCAUGGCACAUUGGAGGGUGCAUAUCCAGUACCCCUCCACCACUGAAUAGCAGGUCCUUUAAGAUAAGAAAUUGCCAGUUCUGUUCUAUGUUCAAUGGGAGUUCUUGCAGCAGCAAAAUACUGUUCCAAAUUCUGAAUCCAUGACUCAGGAUCUUGUCCUUCAAAUUCUGAUAUGUUCAACUUAGCAGGCUUAACAGUCAGAACAUUCCUUUUUCUGUAAUAAUUCUCAACUCCAUCUUCCUGUAUUUCCUCCAACUGAAUUACAUUUCUCUGCACUGCCUGAAACUGUUCCUUGUCCUUACUCUGACCAUAGUGUGGGUUCCUGUAGGGAACCUUAGGAGUCCCAUCCAUAUUCAGUUCCUUACCAGCCUGAUCACGCAGAACAGCUGUCCCAAUUGGAAAAGGGGCAACUUUGUCAGGCAUUGCCACCGAUGGUGGUGUAGGAGCUUGGAGCUGCUUGGGCCUACCCGGAGCUACCUGAGGUGAGUUAACAUGGUUGUCCUUAACCUGCACACUGCCUUGGCCUUCUUCAACCUGAUCCUCCUGUGCUGGCUCGGGUUCUAACAACAGACGCCUGAAAUUGUCCUGAAUUUUCUCAAAGUUCUUUUGCAUCGUUGCAAAAUUUCUGUUUACAGAUGCCUGAAACUGCUGGAACUCCUUGCGAUCCUCUUCUCGCUCCCGCUGGAACGUUUUGAUGUCCAACUCAAGGGAAUCCAGCUACAAUUCGGCCGUUGACCCUGAAUCCAUCGGGCCCGUCAUCUUGAAAUCGUCGGCAAUCAACACCAUAGAGGGUUGGGAGGGUGGGAGGACUAGUCACCGCCGCCUACGCCGCCGCCAGCGCCCACCUCCGAUGGUACACGAGCAGAUCACAGGAGCUGGGAUUUCACUACCUGAAAAGUGUUCCCGGGCAACCAGACUGUUCUUCUGCUUGUACCCGAACUCUGCCACUCUGGCCGCCACCAGAUGCCACUGCCGCUAGAUCGGGGUGAGAUGAGGGAUUUUACAGCCGGAACCAACCUCUUCUACCCCCAAUCAACCAUGCCGCCGAGGAAGGACUGGCUCUGAUACCAAUUGUCAGGACCAGAGUCCCUCUGUACUGAAUUUAAGCACGAACUAGUAGGUUUCAGACAAGAAUUUGGGCGAAUUUAGCUAGGGUUUUCAUUGCAAGAGGAAGGGAAGGUAGUAGCACGCCACCGGCGGCUAGGGUUUACACCCAAUAAUUCUAUUACAUGCCUCGAAUGGAAGGGAAAGCUGGCUUAUAUAGCCAUUACAGUAGCUGUAAAGCAGAAAAGCAGAAAAGUGCAAGCACAUGGCUUGUCGGACGGUGAACAGCUUCUCCCGCGUCUUCUAAGCCGUUGGAUGGUUGAUCGACGGAGGAGAGAAACCCACUUAAGUGAACCGUUAGCUUGGCCCUGAGACCGUAGGAUUUGAGAUGGACGGCUGUCAAUGCAACUGACAUGCAGGAACAGGGGAACUUAAGAACUGAGCCUGACAGGUGCAUAUCAGGGUGAGCUUCCCCAAUCCUUAUUUCCCCUCCGCUCAUGAUCUCUCUCUCCUACCCAUCUUCUAUGCAAGAUUUGUGUAGCCUAAAGCCUUUGUAUGAUACGUGUAGGUAUACCUUUGGAAGAAAAAAUCAAUCAAAUGUUAAUUCUCCAAGGUAACUUGCCUUUUCUACGCAGGUACUGCUUGUUUAGUACUGUGGAUAGUACUGUGGAUAAGUAAAUGUAAGCAUGCCCCAAUAAUGAUACGAACAAGGUUUGAGAGGCUCAAUCAUUUUCAUUUAUACUAAGAAUUAACCAGUUCACUAAUUUCUAUGCUACUAAUAGUGUCGUCUGAAUAUAUCUACUACAUUCACUGCACUGUGCUUACAUUCACACUGAUUGUAGCUGCAAGUUAAGAUCUAAUUGUCCAAGAUAAUUCUGAGGACCUAACACAACGUGCGGUUUUGAACUAAGUGAUAUUUUCUGGCCUUACUCCCAUGUACUUUUAAAAUCAAUUUUAAUGAUAUCGAUAGGUUAAGGUCAUUCAUGAGGAGAGGUGUUGGGGCGGAGUCCCAGGUGUAGCUACUAUUGCCCUAUCAAUUCUGUAGUCACCUCUUUCUGAACAUUGGUUAGUUCUUCACGAGCGAUACUAUACUCUUGCUGCCUCUUAGUAUUCUCCGUUUAUUCUAAUAAGUGUAUGUGGACACACGCAGACAGUAACGGAACAAGCACAACAGUUCUCUUUGUGUUUUAGUGGGUAUAUGUGGAUGUACAGAAAGUGGUCUCUGUUUAUUAACGGGUUACAUGUUGCUGCAAUGAAAAUGUAUAUGGUGAUUUUCAUUCUGGUUUGCAGGGUAGUACAUGGAGCAUAGAAACUGAGUCGAAAGUCUGUCUUUUGUGCAGGAAUUUACUGCAGGUCUGAUCCCUUGCUCGUGCUCUCUGCUUGUCCUCACUCUGUAGACCUUUCCUUUGCUCGUAGCCAUACAUUUUAUUCAGAGUGCUGUCAAGACGCAUCUCCUCUGCCUAUAUGGCGGGCAGAGGGCCUAAGCUCUAGCUUAAACUGAAAUCAAUGCAUGGUAUUGUUCAAUUCGAAGUGUACUUGACGUGUGCAGAUCUGAGGAUAAAGGGAAGAAGACGGAAUUUAGCUGAGGAGUUGAAUAGGAUCAAGGUUAUUAUUCCACAAUCAUUUGUUGGGUUUAAGGAUAUAAACAACAUGGCUUACGAGGAUUUGGACUGCUGUUCUUUUAGUUCCACUCUUAAAUCUUUUGGUUCUUGAAGGCCUGCACUUUCCUGGUGGAGUAAGAGCAAAAUAAUUCAGAGGCUUUAAAGCUGCUGCACUUUAGUAGUUAGGAUUAAUUCUUUGUUUUGGUUUGAAAUGCUCCCCAAUUCCUCUUAUUUGAUUGAUUCAUCUGAUGGUCAUUUGUCAGGCAAAUAAACAGAAGGCAUAUGUAUUGUUUUGAGUGAAGCCAUCCAUACAAGGCAAUAUAUUAAUUAUCCCAUAUGUGGAAUUCAAGAUAGAGAGAAAUGUUAUUGUUCUUCUGCUAAUUGGUUGCUUGACAAAUGUACUAUAAAUGAUGUUAUUAUUGUACGAGAUAUAGAGAAAUGUUAUUGUUCUUCAAUUAUUGAGAUGAUAGAAGUACUACUUA
Long non-coding RNA from Triticum aestivum (bread wheat), 5644 nucleotides. RefSeq lists it as uncharacterized. The record is from RefSeq and is a predicted model, not a curated record. Lineage: Eukaryota; Viridiplantae; Streptophyta; Magnoliopsida; Poales; Poaceae. The transcript has 8 exons.